This 100-nucleotide small nuclear RNA is filed under the name Mus caroli (Ryukyu mouse). The record is from RNAcentral. Lineage: Eukaryota; Metazoa; Chordata; Mammalia; Rodentia; Muridae.
GUGUUUGCUUCGGCAGCACAGAUACUAAAACCGAACCAAUACAGAGAAGAUUAGCAUGGCCCCUGCUCAAGGAUGACAUGCAAAUUCAUGACGCAUUACU